GACGAACGCUGGCGGCGUGCUUAACACAUGCAAGUCGAACGGAAAGGCCCUGCUUUUUUGGUGUGCUCGAUGGGCGAACGGGUGCGUGACAGGUAAAUAACCUACUCUAGACUUUCGGGUGGGUUAAGGAAGGUGGGGCUACUCUAGUAUAGGAUAUCCUGCUGCAUGGAGGGCGUUGGAUCGUUGCGGCUGGUGGGGAUGGAUUCGCGGCUUAUGAGCUUGUUGGUUGGGGAGUGGAUGACCCAGGCAUUGACGGGUAGCUGGCCUGAGAGGGUGACCGGCCACAAGGGGACUGAGAUACGGCCCAGACUCCAACGGUAGGCAGCAGUGGGGAACAUGGCACAAUGGGCGGGAGCCGGAGGCAGAAACGCCGCGUGCGGGAUGACGGUUUUCUGGUUGUAAAACGCUUUCGCCUGUGACGAAGCGGGAGUGACGGUAACGGGUAAAGAAGCACCGGCUAACUACGUG
This 468-nucleotide ribosomal RNA is filed under the name uncultured bacterium. RNAcentral describes it as "partial 16S ribosomal RNA". It matches the Rfam family "Bacterial small subunit ribosomal RNA", at positions 28 to 507 of the family's 1533-position model. The record is from RNAcentral.